Molecule: ribosomal RNA, 414 nt
Filed under: uncultured microorganism
Description: bacterial SSU rRNA
Rfam family: Archaeal small subunit ribosomal RNA
Source: RNAcentral
CAGCAGCCGCGGUAAUACCGGCGGCCCGAGUGGCGGUCACUCUUAUUGGGCUUAAAGCGUCCGUAGCCGGGUUGGGAAGUCCUCCGGGAAAUCUGGCCGCUUAAAGGUCAGAAUGCCGGAGGAUACUCCCAGCCUAGGGAGCGGGAGAGGCCGAGGGGAUUCCCGGGGUAGGGGGGAAAUCCUAUAAUCCCGGGAGGACCACCUGUGGCGAAGGCGCUCGGCUGGAACGCGUCCGACGGUGAGGGACGAAGGCCAGGGGAGCAAACCGGAUUAGAUACCCGGGUAGUCCUGGCUGUAAACGAUGCGGACUUUGUGUCGGACAAGCUAUGAGCUUGUCCGGUGCCGGAGGGAAACCGUUAAGUCCGCCGCCUGGGGAGUACGGCCGCAAGGCUGAAACUUAAAGGAAUUGGCGGG